This 253-nucleotide ribosomal RNA is filed under the name uncultured bacterium. Its description in RNAcentral is "partial 16S ribosomal RNA". It matches the Rfam family "Bacterial small subunit ribosomal RNA", at positions 524 to 776 of the family's 1533-position model. The record is from RNAcentral.
UACGGGGGGGGCAAGCGUUGUUCGGAAUUACUGGGCGUAAAGGGCUCGUAGGUGGCCAACUAAGUCAGACGUGAAAUCCCCAGGCUCAACUUGGGAACUGCGUCUGAUACUGGAUGGCUUGAAUUCGGGAGAGGGAUGCAGAAUUCCAGGUGUAGCGGUGAAAUGCGUAGAUAUCAGGAAGAACACCAACGGCGAAGGCAGCUCGCUAGGACGGUACUGACGCUGAGACGCGAAAGCGUGGGGAGCGAACAGG